UACAGGGGGUGCAAACGUUGCUCGGAAUCAUUGGGCGUAAAGCGCACGUAGGCGGUUCGUUAUGUCGGAUGUGAAAGCCCUUGGCUUAACCGAGGAAGUGCAUCCGAAAACUGGCGAGCUAGAGUACUAAAGAGGAUCGCGGAAUUCCCGGUGUAGAGGUGAAAUUCGUAGAUAUCGGGAGGAACACCGGUGGCGAAGGCGGCGAUCUGGGUAGAUACUGACGCUGAGGUGCGAAAGCGUGGGGGAGCAAACAGG
RNAcentral lists this ribosomal RNA (255 nucleotides) under uncultured bacterium. RNAcentral describes it as "partial 16S ribosomal RNA". It matches the Rfam family "Bacterial small subunit ribosomal RNA", at positions 524 to 776 of the family's 1533-position model. The record is from RNAcentral.